GCAAUGGUGGUUUAGUGGUAGAAUUCUCGCCUUCCACGCAGGAGACCUGGGUUCCAUUUCUGGCCAAGGCA
This 71-nucleotide transfer RNA is filed under the name Loxodonta africana (African savanna elephant). It matches the Rfam family "tRNA". Rfam says of the family: Transfer RNA (tRNA) molecules are approximately 80 nucleotides in length. Their secondary structure includes four short double-helical elements and three loops (D, anti-codon, and T loops). The record is from Rfam by way of RNAcentral. Lineage: Eukaryota; Metazoa; Chordata; Mammalia; Proboscidea; Elephantidae.